Molecule: ribosomal RNA, 461 nt
Filed under: uncultured bacterium
Lineage: Bacteria
Description: partial 16S ribosomal RNA
Rfam family: Bacterial small subunit ribosomal RNA
Source: RNAcentral
CCUACGGGGGACAGCAGUGAGGAAUAUUGGUCAAUGGGCUUAAGCCUGAACCAGCCAAGUCGCGUGAGGGAAGACUGCCCUAUGGGUUGUAAACCGCUUUUGUCAGGGAGCAAAUGGCGCUACGUGUGGCGUUUUGGAGAGUACGUGAAGAAAAAGCAUGGGCAAACUCCGGGCCAGCAGCCGCGGUAAUACGGAGGAUCCGAGCGUUAUCCGGAUUUAUUGGGUUUAAAGGGUGCGUAGGCGGUUUUAUAAGUUAGAGGUGAAAUGUCGGGGCUCAACCACGAAACUGCCUCUAAUACUGUGGGACUAGAGAAUAGUUGCGGUAGGCGGAAUGUAUGGUGUAGCGGUGAAAUGCUUAGAGAUCACACAGAACACCGAUUGCGAAGGCAGCUUACCAAACUAUAUCUGACGUUGAGGCACGAAAGCGUGGGUAGCAAACAGGAUUAGAUACCCUUGUAGUC